RNAcentral lists this signal recognition particle RNA (266 nucleotides) under Clostridia bacterium. Its description in RNAcentral is "signal recognition particle sRNA large type". It matches the Rfam family "Bacterial large signal recognition particle RNA". From Rfam's summary of the family: The signal recognition particle (SRP) is a universally conserved ribonucleoprotein involved in the co-translational targeting of proteins to membranes. Archaeal SRP consists of a 7S RNA and homologues of the eukaryotic SRP19 and SRP54 proteins. In most bacteria, the SRP consists of a 4.5S RNA and the Ffh protein (a homologue of the eukaryotic SRP54 protein). Lineage: Bacteria; Bacillati; Bacillota; Clostridia. The record is from RNAcentral.
CCAUACCAGCCGGGGAGUCAGCGGUGCCUUGUACCCGAGAUCCGCUAUAGCGGGGGUUCAUUCCCGGUAAGAGGGUGGAGUCGACGCGGCCUGCGACUUUCUUUCUGUGUUGAAGAACGGGUCCCGCGCAAUCGGACGCUGUGAACCAUGUCAGGUGGGGAACCAAGCAGCAUUAAGCGGUUUUUCCGGUGUGCCGCGAGGCAGCCUGUUCCGAGCAGGGGGCGAGACUAACGCGCGGCGGCGAAAUUCGAAUUCCGGGUGUAUGG